UGGUGGAGUGAUUUGUCUGGUUAAUUCCGUCAACGAACGAGACCCCUGCCCGCUAAAUAGUUCCACGGAUGAAUAUUUCAUCGGCGAGAGCUUCUUAGAGGGACAUCCGUCUACUAGGCGGAGGAAGAUAGGGGCAAUAACA
RNAcentral lists this ribosomal RNA (142 nucleotides) under uncultured eukaryote. Its description in RNAcentral is "partial 18S ribosomal RNA". It matches the Rfam family "Eukaryotic small subunit ribosomal RNA", at positions 1299 to 1458 of the family's 1831-position model. The record is from RNAcentral.